Long non-coding RNA from Alosa sapidissima (American shad), 274 nucleotides. RefSeq lists it as uncharacterized. Lineage: Eukaryota; Metazoa; Chordata; Actinopteri; Clupeiformes; Clupeidae. The transcript is spliced from 3 exons. The record is from RefSeq and is a predicted model, not a curated record.
UUUCAUUUAGAUAUAGCUGAUUUGAACCAUGGAGCAGCAGGCCAGACCAACAGUGUGGAUCGUGAAGAGCAGCUAAAUCCGCAGGGCCAAUCAGAGGGCAAAGCGACGUCGCUAGAAGUUUCCCAUAAGAAAAUUGGUCUUGCGAGCAAGAAGAAAGGCGCAGAUAGCGGGAGAAGUAGACGGAACAGGGGAGACGAAGAAGUUCCCACAAGAAAGAAAAUCGGUCUUGCGAGCAAGAGGGAGGGGGAUAUCGGGGGAGGAGAAGACGGAACAG